RNAcentral lists this ribosomal RNA (440 nucleotides) under uncultured bacterium. RNAcentral describes it as "partial 16S ribosomal RNA". It matches the Rfam family "Bacterial small subunit ribosomal RNA", at positions 338 to 795 of the family's 1533-position model. The record is from RNAcentral.
CCUACGGGAGGCAGCAGUGGGGAAUAUUGCACAAUGGGGGAAACCCUGAUGCAGCGACGCCGCGUGAGUGAAGAAGUAUUUCGGUAUGUAAAGCUCUAUCAGCAGGGAAGAAAAUGACGGUACCUGAUUAAGAAGCCCCGGCUAACUACGUGCCAGCAGCCGCGGUAAUACGUAGGGGGCACGCGUUAUCCGGAUUUACUGGGUGUAAAGGGAGCGUAGACGGCAGCACAAGUCUGGAGUGAAAUGCCUGGGCUUAACCCCGGAACUGCUUUGGAAACUGUGCAGCUAGAGUGCAGGAGAGGUAAGUGGAAUGCCUAGUGUAGCGGUGAAAUGCGUAGAUAUUAGGAGGAAAACCAGUGGCGAAGGCGGCUUACUGGACUGUAACUGACGUUGAGGCUCGAAAGCGUGGGGAGCAAACAGGAUUAGAUACCCUAGUAGUC